Vigna unguiculata (cowpea) is the source of this 295-nucleotide long non-coding RNA. RefSeq lists it as uncharacterized. Lineage: Eukaryota; Viridiplantae; Streptophyta; Magnoliopsida; Fabales; Fabaceae. The record is from RefSeq and is a predicted model, not a curated record.
AAUCACUUUCACUCUGUUGUAGUUGUUGAAACCCGGAACCAGGAGAGGAACUCCUCCUCAAGCUGAGCCAUCCCCCUUCCGCCCCUUAGGUUGAGAAUUGAGGUGCCCUUGUGCUAGCGCCUUGCUUGUGGUGUUUUGUUAAAAGAGCCUAGCCCAGAUGAUGAUGCCCCCCUUCAGAGCAGGAACCGAUCCCUCUUACUUGUUGCUGUAGUAGUUUUGAACUGUACUUUUGAAGAGUCUUAGCUUGGCAAGUUGUUAAGCCCCCUUCUUAUACUUUUGGAUGACUGUACCAAAC